Molecule: long non-coding RNA, 1260 nt
Filed under: Macaca mulatta (Rhesus monkey)
Lineage: Eukaryota; Metazoa; Chordata; Mammalia; Primates; Cercopithecidae
Description: lncRNA (ENSMMUG00000053573.1)
Source: RNAcentral
GAUGGGUCACAGCACCAGGUCCUGCCAGAGAAAGGAAGCAAAAAUGUAAGUAGUGGGGCCAGUUGUACUGACUGUAAACAAGGACCAGGAUAAGGAGGCACCUUUUGACCCUAGAGGAUCUGAGGUCCUGUGUCUGGAACUCGUGAUAGCUGACUCAUGGCAAGGCUGCAUGGUGUGAGGAAGCAGGAAAACUGGGCAGAGAUGUGGGCUCAGAUCUUUACUCUGCUACUAACUCGGUCCCUGGCAUCCUGGACCUUUUUUGACCUCUUCUUCCUCAUGCAAGACAGGUUGAUAGCUCUCCAUCUGGGACUUGUGAUGACCUAAUCCAGUGUGAUCAUAAAUAUGCAAGAGCUUUGAACAAGUUGCAAAUAUUGUGCAAAUGUAAGGUACUAAGAUGUGGGUCCGGGCUAACCAUGGAGGGCAAAGGAGCUAUUGUUGAGAAUUUGGAAUUCUCUCUUUUCUCCGCUUCCCAGAACGACAGGAAUAAGCAGAAACGCGUCUGCUGCAGGAAAGGAUUGUCAUUGCUGGUUCUGAGUACUUGUUGACAUGUGGAUUGUGUUUCCUCAAAAGGGAGGGCUGACACUGCCCCAGCCACGAGCAAUUGCUGCUUUCCUGGCCCAACCUGGCCCCGGGGUCUGGCUGUGUGACCAGCAGCCCCUUGGAACUUCCUCACAUGCUUUUUAUCUAGGUUGGACCAGAGAUCCUGAUGUAUCUUUCUUCAGUUCCCAGAGCUGCCACACGUUAAAGUUCAGACUGAGAAGGCAUCCACCAAUUGUAAACAAUGUUCAAGAAGUCUGUUCUGAUGACUCUCUGUGCUACUUUCUCUACCUCAGGUUGUGCCAUCCCCAGGGUGGAGGGAGGAGUUCCAGUUGGAUCUCAACUGCUGCCACUUGUGGACACUUGUGAUCUCCUACCGUCUUUCCUGGUGCUGGAAGUCAGUGUCCACAGGUAAGGCUACUCUGCUUUUCAAUGGAAAAACCACCUUCCAACCUCUUCUACAUCCUGGACUUGAAGCCCUGGCUGCCCCCUUGGGAGGAUGUGGAGAAAAUACUUCACAUUCUUUUCUGAAGAGUCUGCAGCCAAGAAAGCCAGAUAUGGCUGAUUUCUCAAUCACGUUAUUCUGCCACACUAAAUGUUCAAUUAAUCGCCAUGUUACACUUACAACAGCAAAAGAAAAGUUCAGCAGUAAGUGACUAAUAAUACUGUACAGUCAUAGAAGGCUGUACUGUGUAGCCUGGCAGAAGGAUAUUUAAUGACAUG